Molecule: long non-coding RNA, 1020 nt
Filed under: Manacus vitellinus (golden-collared manakin)
Lineage: Eukaryota; Metazoa; Chordata; Aves; Passeriformes; Pipridae
Description: lncRNA (ENSMVIG00005013984.1)
Source: RNAcentral
GCCUUUUUUCUCCCCCUUUGCCUCCUCUGGGGCCGUUUUUUCUCAUUUUUCUCCCCCUUUGGCUGUUCCUGGGGCCACUUUACUCUCAUUUUUUGAUGUUUUCUCUCAUUUUUGGCCACUUUUCCUCACUUUUCUCCCUCUUUGGCUCUUUCUGGGGCCAUUUUUCCUCAUUUUUCUGCCCGUUUGGCUGCUCUGGGACCAUUUUCUCCUCAUUUCUGGCCCUUUCUCUCUCUCUCUCUCCCCUUCUGGGGCUGUUUUCCCUCACUUCUCUCCCACUCUGGUUAUUCCUGGGGCUGUUUCUCCCCCUUCCUGGUUGUUUUUCCUCACUUUUCUCCCCAUUCCUGCCUAUUCCUCCCUCUCUCUCUCCCUGUUUGGUUAUUUCUGGGGCCAUUUUUCCCCAUUUCUGACUGUUCCUCUCUCUCUUUCCCCAUUCCUGGCCAUUCCUGUCUCUCUCUCUCCCUCUUUGGGGCUCUUUUUCCUCACUUUUCUCUCCCUUUGGGGCAGUUUUUCCUCACUUUUCUCCCCAUUCCUGUCUCUCUCUCCCCAUUCCUGUCUCUCUGUCCCUGUCCCUGGUGUCUGUGCCUGUCCCAUGGCGGGAGGAUUGUCAGGGCGUGGGGACUGAAGGGCCCCGCUCACCUCUGGGGCUGUUUCUCCUCAUUUUUCUCCCCCUCUGGGGCAGUUUUUCCUCACUUUUCUCCCCAUCCCUGGCCAUUCCUGUCUCUCUCUCCCCAUUCCUGUCUCUCUGUCUGUCCCUGGUGUCUGUGCCUGUCCCAUGGGCGGGAGGAUUGUCAGGGCGUGGGGACUGAAGGGCCCCGCUCACCUCUGGGGCAGUUUUUCCUCUCUCUCUCCCAUUCCUGUCUCUCUCUCUGGGGCAGUUUUUCCUCUCUUUCUCCCCCUUUGGGGCAGUUUUUCCUCUCUCUCUCUCCAUCCCUGUCCCUGUCCCUGGUGUCUGUGCCUGUGGCGUGGUGGGAGGAUUGUCAGGGCGUGGGGACUGAAGGGCCCCGCUCACCUCUGGGGCAG